UACGUAGGGGGCAAGCGUUGUCCGGAUUUAUUGGGCGUAAAGAGCGUGUAGGCGGCCAGAUAAGUCCGCUGUGAAAUCUCGAGGCUCAACUUCGAGCUGUCGGUGGAAACUAUCUGGCUAGAGUCCGGAAGAGGAGAAUGGAAUUCCUGGUGUAGCGGUGAAAUGCGCAGAUAUCAGGAAGAACACCCGUGGCGAAGGCGGUUCUCUGGGACGGUACUGACGCUGAGACGCGAAAGCGUGGGAGCGAACAGG
RNAcentral lists this ribosomal RNA (252 nucleotides) under uncultured bacterium. RNAcentral describes it as "partial 16S ribosomal RNA". It matches the Rfam family "Bacterial small subunit ribosomal RNA", at positions 524 to 776 of the family's 1533-position model. The record is from RNAcentral.